RNAcentral lists this ribosomal RNA (253 nucleotides) under uncultured bacterium. Its description in RNAcentral is "partial 16S ribosomal RNA". It matches the Rfam family "Bacterial small subunit ribosomal RNA", at positions 524 to 776 of the family's 1533-position model. The record is from RNAcentral.
UACAGAGGAGCCAAGCGUUGUCCGGAUUGACUGGGCGUAAAGCGCACGCAGGCGGUUGCGCGCGUGGGGGGUGAAAUCUGGCCGCUUAACGGCCAGGCGCCAUCCCAUACGGCGCGACUGGAGGGCUGCAGAGGUCGAUGGAAUUGCCGGUGUAGUGGUGAAAUGCGUAGAGAUCGGGAGGAACACCAGUGGCGAAGGCGGCUACCUGGACCAGCACUGACACUGAAGCACGAAAGCGUGGGGAGCAAACAGG